ACCACUGGAAAAACCAUAGCCUUGACUAGACGGACCUUUGUUGGCAAAGUAAUGUCUCUGCUUUUCAAUAUGCUAUCUAGGUUGGUCAUAACUUUAGACUGUUCUAAGUUACAAUGGAUCUACGUAGGUGGAUUUCAGCACCAGGCCACUGUCAUUAAUGAUCUCAAGGGCUUUGGGAAUAAACUAGGGUGAUUCAAAAAAAAAAAAAAAAAGGAAAAACCAAGCCUGGUGGGCCAGCAGGAGGAUGUGGACAGUCCAUUCCCAGCUCAGGUCUGGGGAAGGCAGAUGUGAGCGUUGGAGCACUGGGGGGAUUGGGGGACAGAGGGUGAGUGGCAGGUGAGAUGAGGCAGUUAAGGGAGGAUGGAAGCUUAGACUGCAACCACAGAGAGAACACAGGAUCCCAACCAUGGUCAGAGGGUGGCUUUUUUGAGGAUGUACAUUGCCUGUCCAAAGCUGGAAGCACCUAGAAGUCACGGUCAGAGCUGGUGAACAGUCCCGGAUGAGAAGGAAGGAGUGGCCACAGAUGUGAGUGGGAGAAGAGAUGGCAGCAAGUGGACAUGAACUGAUCACAGCAUGUGUUGAUUGUCCUGUGGGUACAGCUGAGGUGAGGAGACACAGGCAUGGGGUGGGAGGACCAGUGCACCCCACAGGUCAGACUCGAGAGGGUGAGUGAGUCCUCUGGGUUGAGAGAGGUGAGCUGUGCCCAAGGACGAGGAUGGGGAGAUACAUGUUCAUUCUUCCCAGGAGCAUGCUGCAAAUGGGGAAGACUGCUGGUACCAGGGGGGUUUGUGGGGUGCAGGUCACGCUUCCUUCAGGAUCACAGACAGCUCUGACUUCCUACUCCCCCAUCAGCGAGGGUUAUUAAGUACAUAGGGACUCACUGUCCAGGGGAGUUAUUUGCAGUAGAGGCUUAAGACUCUGUCUCCCACACAGAAGCCACCAGGGAGCUGAGAAUGACGUCACAUCCCUGCGAUAUCAUGUCACAGGGGAAGCUGCCAGCUGUGGAUUACAAAGCCAAGUUCAGACGGCUCACACCCUAGGCAGCAUGGAUCCCUACUCUGUAAACCCGGGUAAUUCCUGAAAUGGUCCCUAAGGCUGAUCCAAAUCUACGAGCCUGACUUCCCUGUUUCCUUGAGCUUCCCCAGCCCAUUCCUGAUUAAAGACCAAAGAGAAAAAUGCUUCAUAAACAGAACAGCCUGGGAAAUUGUGAAAGAAAGCAGCCUGAAUGAUGAAGUGGCAUCCUGCUGCUAUCAUAAACAUUCCUUGAUGCCAGUCUUGACAAGCAACAAAUGAUCAACAAACUAUUGAUGGCUUGCUCAGCUUAUGAAAAAUGUGUCCAGCUGUGGGUCAACAAGUUCUGGCCUGGGAGUCCAAGGCAGAUGUGCCCAGGUGAUGUCACUGCUGACCAUCUGCCCUGGGUGUCAGAUCCCUUCUGGAUAACAGCGUAGGACCAACAUGCCCGGGGGCGUGUGAUAAAGAUGUUUUUGGAGUACCUACUGUAGGGCCAACACGAUGCUAGAUGCUGAGAAGGCUGCAAAGAAGGGGAAAUCUGUUGGGAAAUUCAUAGUUUAAUCAGAAGGAGGAGCCCCUGGAAGGGACCUGCUUUUAGGAAACACCUACUAUGUGGCAGGCACUGGUUAGACCUAGCCUCAUCUAACCCUAAGAGCAGCCACUGAGCUCUUCCUAUCUUCAUUCUAUGGCCAAGCACGCUGGGGAGGUCGGAGACCAGAGGUCACCCCACUUGCCCAAAGCAUCACAGCUUGUGGAUGAGAACUGACCCUUUUAGAGCAAGACCACCUGUUCUGUUUGCCCCAAUUCCUGUUCACUUCAGCUCCAUGGGCAAAGACCUCGCUGAAAGGACAAGUCUAUCCGAGUGAGACCUUGAUGUUAGACAUACUUCUCAGGUUCUUUUUAGCAGCCCAGCAUCCAGACAGAAUUUUCACUUGGGAAAGUGAAAGCGUUAGUCACUCAGUCGUGUCUGACUCUUUGCGACCCUAUAGACUGUAGCCCACUGUAGCCCUUCUGUCCUCGGAAUUCUCCAGACAAGAAUACUGGAGUGGGUCACUGUGCCCUCCUCCAGGGGAUCUUCCCGACCCAAGGAUCAAACCCGUGUCUCCUGCAUCACAGGCUGAUUCUUUACCAUAUGAGCCAGCUCGGAAGCCCGACAUGUCUUAAUAUCGCCAAUUUAAAAACAAAAUCAAAGAUAACUGUUGGCAAGGCUGUGGAGAAAUUGGAGCCCUUGUACAUUGCGACUUGGGAUGUUUAGCCCAGUGAGGCUGGAAAACAAACUGGAGAUCAGUUUGAUGGGUUUUCAAAAAAUAAAUAUAGAAUCACCAUAUGACCCAGCCAUUCCACACCCAUGGUCUGUAUGCAAGAGAGCUGAAAGCAGGUGGUCAAACAAAAACUUGUAUGUGAGCACUCACAGCAGUGCUAUUCACAGUAGCUGAAAGGUGGAAACAGUCCAAAUGCCCAUCAGCCACUGACAAGAUCAGCAAUUGUGGUCUCUCCAUACAAUGGAACAUUGUUCAGCCAAAGAAAGAAAUGAAGUUCCGAUGCAUGUUGCAAUGUAGAAGAACCUUGACAUUCUCAGCCAGAUGAAGAAAAGCUACAUUUGGACGGUCACGUGUUGUUUGAUUCCAUUUCAAUGAAAUGCCCAGAAGGGACAAAUGUAUGAAGGUUGAAGGCAGAUCAGUAGUGGCCUGGGGCUAGCGGGAGGAGGUGACUUGGAAGCAACUUUUAAUGGGUUGGAGGGCUGCUUGGUUUGCGUGAUGAAAAUGUUUUGGAUCUAGACAGACAUGGUGGUUGCACAAUUAUGAAUGUAUUUGUGCAUUCAUAUGCCACUGAAUUACUCUAUCAAGUUUUUGGCCACCCUAUGUGGCAGCCAACAAGCCUCUGUUUAGGUACCAUUUUGAAAUACAUAAAAAAUUUCAACCAUUUUUUUUAAGGUGGAGUGGAAUGUUCUAAAAUCAGACCCUCCUCCCUAUUCAUCAGUUUGGUUUAAGCUGGGAAAUCAAGGCUUUUGCAUCCACCCAGUGACCAAGCUUCAGACCCUCACUCUGUGUGCUCACCAGCUGUGUGUCCUUAAGCAACUCAGUUAAGCUCUCUGAGCUCAGCUGCCUUAUCAUAAACAGCAUGUGGGGAUCAAUAGCCAUGUGUGAAUGCAAUACUCAACACACAACAGAGACUAAUAAA
Bubalus bubalis (water buffalo) is the source of this 3192-nucleotide long non-coding RNA. RefSeq lists it as uncharacterized. The record is from RefSeq and is a predicted model, not a curated record. The transcript is spliced from 3 exons. NCBI's taxonomy places the organism in Eukaryota, Metazoa, Chordata, Mammalia, Artiodactyla, Bovidae.